AGAGUUUGAUCAUGGCUCAGGAUGAACGCUAGCUACAGGCUUAACACAUGCAAGUCGAGGGGCAGCAUUGGAGUAGCAAUACUCAGAUGGCGACCGGCGCACGGGUGAGUAACACGUAUCCAACCUGCCGCUUACUCGGGGAUAGCCUUUCGAAAGAAAGAUUAAUACCCGAUGGUAUAAAGAGUUCGCAUGUUCUCUUUAUUAAAGAAUUUCGGUAAGCGAUGGGGAUGCGUUCCAUUAGAUAGUUGGCGGGUAACGGCCCACCAAGUCUACGAUGGAUAGGGGUUCUGAGAGGAAGGUCCCCCACAUUGGAACUGAGACACGGUCCAAACUCCUACGGGAGGCAGCAGUGAGGAAUAUUGGUCAAUGGACGAGAGUCUGAACCAGCCAAAGUAGCGUGAAGGAUGACUGCCCUAUGGGUUGUAAACUUCUUUUAUAAGGGAAUAAAGUGAGGGACGUGUCCCUUUUUGUAUGUACCUUAUGAAUAAGGAUCGGCUAACUCCGUGCCAGCCGCGGC
This 517-nucleotide ribosomal RNA is filed under the name uncultured bacterium. RNAcentral's name for it is "bacterial SSU rRNA". It matches the Rfam family "Bacterial small subunit ribosomal RNA", at positions 8 to 518 of the family's 1533-position model. The record is from RNAcentral.